CCCUUAGAUGUUCUGGGCCGCACGCGCGCUACACUGAUGCAUUCAACGAGUCUACAACCUGGUCUGAUAGGGCUGGGUAAUCUUUUGAAUGUGCAUCGUGAUUGGGAUAGAUGAUUGCAAUUUUUCAUCUUCAACGAGGAAUGCCUAGUAAACGCAAGUCAUCAGCUUGCAUUGAUUACGUCCCUGCCCUUUGUACACACCGCCCGUCGCUCCUACCGAUUGAAUGAUCCGAUGAAUAUCAUGGAUUGAGGAUGCAAGUAGGUUCGCCUAUCUUCAUCUUCGAGAAGUGAAGUAAAUCUUAUCAUUUAGAGGAAGGAGAAGUCGUAACA
This 329-nucleotide ribosomal RNA is filed under the name uncultured eukaryote. Its description in RNAcentral is "partial 18S ribosomal RNA". It matches the Rfam family "Eukaryotic small subunit ribosomal RNA", at positions 1470 to 1796 of the family's 1831-position model. The record is from RNAcentral.